Molecule: long non-coding RNA, 308 nt
Filed under: Nicotiana benthamiana
Lineage: Eukaryota; Viridiplantae; Streptophyta; Magnoliopsida; Solanales; Solanaceae
Description: long non-coding RNA (NBEN_LNC026710)
Source: RNAcentral
GGAAAGGAUUUUUUGAACGUUGCUGAAUAAUCGAUUAUUGAUUUUGUAUAAUCGAUUGUUUUACGUAAAAUCUGGAAAUGAUUUUUUGAACGUUAGCAAUAAUCGAUUAUUGAUCUUGGACAAUCGAUUGUUAAGCGUAAAAUCUGGGAUUGAUUUCUGGAACGAUUGGGAAACAAUCGAUUGUGGCUUCUUGACAAUCGAUUGUCACUCAGUAAAAUCAGUAACUCUUAAUUGACAAUUAGACAACAGUAAUUCCAAGUUUUUCAACUAUAAAUACAGCUUCAUUUCAGUGUUUUAAACACAACAAC